RNAcentral lists this long non-coding RNA (17089 nucleotides) under Malus domestica (apple). RNAcentral's name for it is "long non-coding RNA (MDOM_LNC008886)". Lineage: Eukaryota; Viridiplantae; Streptophyta; Magnoliopsida; Rosales; Rosaceae. The record is from RNAcentral.
UUGCCUUUUUCUUUUCAUCAACCUUGGUGACUAUCAGUGUCAAAGAAAGCUUAAUUCUUCGUUCUGUUUUUAUUUGUCUCUUUAAAGGUUUGUAAAUUUUUUUUCUAUCGACCUUAUUCAACCAUGUAAAUGGAAAAUUUAUGUUAAAAUUCUUCCAUGCAUAGUAGGUACAAAGUGGUUGAGAUAGUUCACAAAAAUGUUAUGGAUGGCUUCUUGUGAUUUAAUAUUGGAGUCCAUAAUAUCUCUACACUCCAGAUCGCGUAGAACUAACUAGAUUGCUCAUUAUUUUCCCGAGCUUGUUGUUUUUGAAACGCUGGACGAUGCUGACAUUUGUGUUGCGUUCGCAGGUUAUGAAAUGGAUGAACAGGCUCCUGAUUCUAAUUACUUGCGGCUGCAGUUUUAUCAGUUCCCGGAUCCCAGGUCAAGACCUGGCCGUAACAAGGGGUGAUAGGCAUUAGGUGAUGAGAAACAUCCGUGUUGAUGUAAUCAAGAUUGCAUUUGCUCUUAUACAUUAUAUAUAUUGCUCAGGCUUGGGCACACACUAAUUGUAAGCACUUCUGAUGCACAUUGUUGUUCUAGGUAGUGAAAUCAGAAACAGUUUUAUAGUUGUGUUGAACGAUCUGAUUUUGCACGUCCAUGGUCUACAAUUUACUCAAGGAAUGUUUUAAUUCUGAAUUGAGAUUGUACUGUGCAUAGACUACCGCAAAAUUAGUACAGAGAUAGUUUCCCUAUAGAUUGUUUUCAUAUACUAGAGGACUUCCAUGGCCAGGGUAUCUUGCCACCAUAUUGUCCCCGUACAUUUUCCCUCCAUAUUAGUUAUAUAUUUAUCUGGACAUUCUAACCUAAUGAAGUCCUACAAUCAUCAUAACUCAUUUUACUUAGCUCAUGCUCCUUACAAUAUUUGAUGAACUCACAUAAGAAACUCAUAGAAAUUUGUUCCCAGUCAUUACCUUUGGACUGCAGUUGAAGCUUAUGAUACAUCCUCCCAAUGCUAAGCACUAGCUAGUGGGUUGUCGACUAAUCUAUGCCACCGUACACAUCGCAGGGGCUUUGAACUCUGUCUCAAUUAUUGUAAAGACGUUAGCCUCUUCAAUGAAAGAACCCAUAGUCCUAUGCUGCUAGAGCUCCCCCCACCCUUCUUGGAAUUAAUAUAGUGUUAGGACAUAUCGCUCUAUUUCUCACAUCACGUGACUAAUGAUUUCUUUGAAGUUACUUCUUUAGGAAACACUUAUACUACAAGUGCUUUUAUUAUAUAGAAUCUUUAUAAGCAAUCCAAGUGUUCAUUGAAAACGUAUUUGAAAGUGCUUCUUGAAAAAGCAUUUGGCAAGUGCUUCUUGAAAAAGCAUUUGGCAAGUGCUUCUAUAAAAGAGCUUAUUGGGUCAAAAGAAUUUCUAAGUUUUUUUUUCUGCCAAGCACAACAGAAUACACAUUUUAGCUUUUUCCAGAACCAAUCCCAGACAAGUUCUAAGCAAAGAAAGGGCGAUACAGCCUGAAGACAACGGAGAAUUUCCCUGACGUUAAAGGUUUUGUUUGUUCGGUCACUAAACCCAAAAAAAUAGAAAACUUGAAGUGGGCAAUGAAUUGGUUUUCGAUUUCCAUUAAAUUGGCACAACAUUCGGCAUUGUUAUGCAAAAAUAUACUUUUUUCUUAUCAUUAGUUUUACACACACUCUAGUCUGUGGUAUAAAAUGAGCUAGGGUUUGGUUGGAGAACAAGUCUACGUGGUAUCAUCACUUACAUUACAUGCCAUGUGGGCUGGAGGGUUUCAUUUGGUGCCAUUACUCCUUUUUCUGUUCUAUAAUCAUUUUGGAACUGGAAGAGAAAGUGGAGGGGAAAAGGUAGUUUAGGGCAAAAAUUUUCCAAUCAAUUUUUUGGCAGUGUGACUGUUUUCGAAAUAUAGAGUAGUUGUGGCAAAAAAGAAAAAGGAAAGGGGUAAUUGUACAUACACAUUGUUCCAAAGGGUCAGUUGUCCCACAACUUGUCAAGGGACCAGAGCAUUAAGUUGUAGCUGCAAGUGCAAGGAGAAAGUUGUGGAUUAGAUAGACCAAUGGAUUUGGUUUGGUUUAAUUCCAAGUCAUCGUCGUUUCUUCUUCUAUGUGGCCCAGCCGCCCAGGACUUUAGUCCUUAUUUGGCAGGUACUUAUUACAAGGUUAGAUAAAGGGAGAUGAUACAUGGAGAACGGUUUGCCAAGUUUGUUAGAGUGGAUCCGGAUCCAUGAGUGUUGGAUCUCUAGUAAUUGAAUCUUUAGUUAAAGAUUCAAUGUCUCAACGAUCUAUGCUAUACAUUUGUCUUUACGAAUUUUCAUUCAUUGUGUAUUACAUAAUAUUCUUGACCCUCUUAUAUGUGACUUCGGCCGACUUCUAUCACCCGAUAUCGUUGUGUAAUAACUUGAUGAGAUAGCCAAUGCUUAGGUCAUCUUCAAUGGAGAUGGCUAAAGGUCAAAAAGCUAAAAAAUAGUAUGAUUUGUUCAAAAACUCAUCUCCAACCAAUGUCAGAGCUAUAAUUAUAUGGAGCCCACCAUGCCAUUAUUUGGCUAGUGCCCCUUUCUUAGCCCCUUUUUGGGGCCUAGCUCCUCGAUUAUGCCAUCUGCAAUGAAGAGGGCUAAAUGUCUAAAAGCCAAAAAAUGACAUGAUUUACCCAAAAACUCAUCUCCAACCAAUAGCUAGGUUAUAAUUCUAUGGAUUCAACAGUUAGAUUUGGAAACAUCCAAUGUUAGUUUAAUUAAAUUAAAGUAUAAACUUAAAACUAAUAAAUUAUUAGGGAGCCUAUGUUUUAGCCCUUUCGGUUGGAGAUGGUAUAUGAGUAUGGCCGACACUAUUCAUUUAAAAAUAAUUUUUUUGUUGGGUUAUAAUUUUGGAUGAGGCUAUGUCUAGCCCUUUUGGUUGGAGAUGACCUUACAAUGAUUAAUUCAAAUUCAAUGGUUAAAUUUGAAAAUAUCCAACAAAACAUCCAACAGUAGUUUAAUUAAAUUAAUCAAUAAUUUUAAGUAUAAACUCAGAACUAAUAAAUUAUUGAGGGAGUUAUGUUUAGCCUUUUCGGUUGGAAAUGAUAUAUGAGUAUGGCCUAAUACUGUUUAUUAAAAAAAAAAUCUUUAGUUAUCUCUGCUAAUCAAUAAAACACUCAUUGUCAACCAAAAUCCUAUGAAAUUACCAGUUUAACCUUCUAAUUAAAACAAAACAUGAAUAAGAAAUAUGGGGCGGAAAUUUAAUUUUACACAAACAAAAUUUGUUGUUUUUUUUUUUCAAAACUUCAUCUAUAUAUAAUUCUAACAUAUCUCUAAUUAUAAAAUAAAUAAAAAAUAAAAAUAAAAACUUCCUACUCCCACAUUCUCUAUCACUCCCUUCCUCUCUUCUUUUAUUUUAAAACAAAAAAAAAAAUUUCACAUACUUUAUAUAUGCCCAUAUGCUAGUAAUUAUAAACGAAACUAUAUUUAACUAUUUCGUUGAAAAUGACCGUACGAGUAUGUAAAUUUUGAAAUGUGAGUUGUCGUUCACUACGCAAGCAAAGAUCGAAAGCCUUCAUGUACCGAGGGGUCCCACUCCUUGAAUCAGAAUAAAAGUGCUUUGAAAAAGUCCCUUUAAUUAUGUCCAAGUUUGGAUAAAAUUUGUCCAUGCAUGGCAUGCACUCACUGACUGAUCUCGUCGUCCUGAAGGGUAAGAGAGGUAAAUUCCAGAAUAACCCACGAGGCACUGUAUGAAGCCUGUCAAUUACAUCAACUCAUCAAGCUUUCAAUCUUUUCAUGGCAUGCCUAACUUCUGUGAAAUAUGCUCAACAUUUAACAUUUUGUAAACCAAAAAGAGAGUAAGAGAGAGAUGAUUGAAGUAAUAAAGUAAAAGCGAAAUGCAUGCAUUGAUAAAAGGAAAUUUUAACAAAAAAAAUUUCGGUACUGUUUACUUUAACAAAAAAUUAUAUUUUUACAUUAAAAAGUCAAUUCUAAUACUAUUCAUUUUACCCUUUAUUUGUUCUUUAUUGUUAAAAAUCAAAUUUUUCAAUCCAUUUUUAUUAGUUUUCCUUUGAUAAAAGGAGAAAGAUGCAUGGAGAACUGGUUUUUUAUUUUAUUAUUAUUUUUUUUACAAACAAUAAUAUUAGAGUGGAUUAAGUUAUUAGCUGUUAGCGAGAAGAGGAUCAAUAAUAAUCAAACUAGCACCCGGAUGUAUAAGCAUAAUUGUUUUCUAAAAUUGCAAUAAAACGUCACUUUCCAUAUAUAUAUAUAUAAAAAAAAAAAACUUAUUGUUCCUUGUAUGAUGGAUUGCAAUCUCAAUAUCGUUCUUAAUGGAACGGCCACAAUUAGUUGUUCAGGACAUAAACAAUAUGUAUUGUCUUUAUAUUUAGGAAAUUGGCUCUGUUAGCCUUAUUACAAACCCAACAAUUAAAAAUACUCCCAAAUUAUAAUCUCUAUUAGCCCUCUUUUCCUUAAAUACCACUAACUUGAAAGAUGAACUGUUAUUCUAUGUCUCGACGUUGGAUCUCGAUGGCAUCCAAAAGGGCCUCUCAACUCCCUUCCGACUGUAUCUCGACUGAAUCACGACGGCAUCUCAACGGCACAGAACUGAAUUACCCUUAUAUUUAUGAGUUGAUCAGACACUCCAAUUAAAUAAAAAUAACUAUAAUUAUGUCAAAAUUAUUUAGUCAGUCUCACGUAUAUAUAAUUAAUUCAUCAAACACAUAAACAAAAAAGUUCUUGUAUGUAUGCUAUACUUUGAUUUGUCUCAACAAGAAAUGACUCAGUCAUCUUUUUAUCUAUGUCCAUUGAGUUUAUGGAGGGCAACAUAUUGAGAUCUCAAAAAUCUUAUUCUCAUACAACACACUUUUUUUUUUGAACAAACGAUAUUAUCUACACUAAGGGAAAAUGGGUGGCCUAAACCUCACAAUGGGCUAGCAAUAAUGUGGUUCAAAUUCACAUUUGGCGAGAAUCAAACCUAAGACCUCUCACUGACAAGUGAAGAAGAAUAUCACUAGACCGUAGUCCUAAAAAAAAUAUAGAUCUUAUAGUCUUGCAGUGUUUUAGAUUAGCUAAAACGUUGGUAUCCAUAUUAACUUACCAAAAAAAAUAUGUUGAAUUUGCUACACCUGGAAUUUGUAGCAGAUUUGUCAUUUUAUAAAGGGGUUUUUAACUCAUUUAAAAAAAAAGAAGGGGUUUUUAACUUUAAUUCUUAAAAAAAAUUGAAAUUUAAUAAAAAUCGGAUGUUAGAUUACAUAUUAAUUAUUGUCCUUUAAUGUGUUAUUAACUCAAAUUAAUUAAUGUGUAUUUUAUUCAAUAUCUCACAUUAAAUAUUUGAAUUUAUGAAAAUGAAAAUUAUAAUAAAAUAUAAUUAAUAUAUCAAAAUUAGAAAGAAAAAGAGAAAUAAUUAAAACAUCAAAAUAUAAUUAAUAAAUGAAGUAAUUAACAUAUCAAGAGACUAAAAUUAGAUUUUAAUUUUACUCAUGUUUUUAAUUUAAAGUUAUUUUUAUCAAAAAUUAAAAUGAAGUUUCCUAUUUUGUAAAUUACAACGAUGAAAAAUGACGCGUUGCACGUAAGAAACAACAUCUAUAUUUUCUCUUUUGUUUAAUAUGCCAUCAAACAUAUCCAUCACAUUUUAAAUUUUGUGGAAGUCCCUCUCUCACAUUGAUAAAGUCUGGUUUGUGUUGGACAGCUGUCCAACAGACAACCCAAAAAUCUUCCAAAAACCAACAAACAUUUCUGACCAGUCAUGCAUACGUAUGCAUGGACCCAAUGGCAUAUAAUCAAAAAUUUUAAAUAAUGGGAUCGUAAUGUCAACUUAAAAAAAAGUUUCAUUAAGCUAUUUCAUCGAACAUUUAGUAAGCAAUUGUCAAUUCUUGUCAACAAUGCCAAAAGUUUAUGUUAAAAUAUAUCAACUACGAUAAUUUGUAGAGGCUUGUCGAGAGUGAUGUAGGAUACUACGAAGUAAUAUUGAGAACUCUUAAAGCUUUUCAACUAAAGUAUUUUAUAUAAAAAGAGAGAAAAGAAAAACAAAUAUGAUAGAAGAAAAUAGAAGAAGUAAGAAGAUGAGGUUGUAAGUUAGUUUGCUUUAGCUAUUUAUAAUGGUCAAAUAAAAUAUACAAACAAAUAUACAUGAGAUUUUUAAAGUUGUUGAGAUCAAGGAUAAUCAAUGAUCCCAUUCUAGUUUUGCCAUUGCAUGGGCCGGAUAGGGAUAUGGCUAAAAUAUAAUUCUAUUAAUUGCGUUUUGGGACUUUGUCUAACAACUUGGCUCUCUCUUGACUUGGAUGCCAUGGAUGGCUCAUGCAGUUUACUAAAACUAGUAAUGUACAAUUUUCAGAGACUAUUAAUUAUCAUCUAUCAGGAAAAUUUGAUUUCCAUGCUUGCCCUUUCACGUCGGUGACUUGGAGAUAAUAUUGUUUCUUGUCCGGAGAUGAAAUAAAAUAAAAAGACUUGCACGAUCAUACUGCAUUAUAUAUAUUACACUAUAUAGUCUAUGUUGGGAGUUAUAUAUUAGUUAAAGUAUAAAUAGUAGUCUGUUAUCCUAUAUUGAUGAAGUGCAUAUGUAAUACAAAUUGUAAUUCCUAUAUAUACUCCAUUUUGGAGAUUAAUGAAUAUAUGAGAAAUUCUCAAAUAUUAUCAUAUAUAUUUUUGGUAUUUACCAUGUUUAGUUUAAUAUAGCAUCAAAGCAGUUCGCUCUUGGUGACCUGUGUGCUUUAAUUUUGUGCCCCACAUUUGUCAUGAUUUCCUUCGUCUUGAAAAAAAAAAAGGAAAGUAAAUAGUGUUGCACUACAGUACAAACAGUGCGUAAACAGUGGUAUGCUACAGUGUUCAUGAACAAUAUUUUGCUACAGUGCCAUUAACAGUGAUCUACUACAUCACUUGAACAGUGAUGUGCUACAGUAUUAUGGUAAAUUGUUUUCAUUCCGCUGCCUAUCUUUUGUGCCUUUAUUGUUUGUGAUUUAAUUCAAUGGCUCAGUAUAAUCAUAAUGUUGUUAUGCAUCUUGGUGGAACAAAUAAAUGGAUAAUUGAUACUGGGACCACUAAUCAUGUGACUAGUGACCCUAGAAUGUUUGAUGAGUUAUGUGACUAUAUUCUUGAUCCGUAUAUUACUAGUGCAAAUGGAGCACAUUCCCCCGUGAAUGUUGAAGGCAUUAUCUCUCUUACUUCGACCUUAUCACUGGUCCAUACUUUACUUGUUCCUGAUGUUAAGUGCAAUCUUUUGUCGGUAGAAAAACUACUUGAUACUUUAUAUUGUUUUGCUCACUUCUACCCUACGUAUUGUUAUUUUCAAGACAUUCAAACUCAGAAAGUAAUUGGUCAUGGUAAAAGAAUAGAGGGUUGUACAUCUUGACUAUGGAGGAUACUGUUGUUUCCGGUUCAAAUAAUCAUCAAGUUUUAAGUGCUAAAGUGGAUGACAUACAUCAAAUUUGGUUGUGGCAUUGGCGAUUAGGACGUCUAUCAUUCAGUUAUAUGAAGCAUCUAUUUCCUGCUUUGUUUCGCAUUUGUAGUGAUUCAUAAUUCAAGUGUGAAGCAUGUGUCAUGGCUAAGAGUCAUCGUGCUUCCUUUCCCAUAAGUGAUUCUAAAGCUACUUUGCCAUUUGAUUUAAUACAUUCUGAUGUGUGAGGUCCGGCAAAUGUUACUUCUAAUGAAUUUCGUUGGUUUGUUACUUUUAUUGAUGAUUGUACUCGAUUAACUUAGGUGUUAUUGAUGAAGAAUAAGAGUGAUGUUCAUUUGCUUCUUCAAGAAUUUUGUGCAAUGGUGUAUACUCAGUUUCAGACCAAAGUUAAGGUUUUCAGGUUUGAUAAUAGAGGAGAAUAUGUGAAUCACACUUUGACAUGCUUUUUUCGUGAUCAGGGUAUUAUUCACCAGACGACUACUUUGUUUACACCCCAACAAAAUGGUGUGUCAGAACAGAAGAAUCGUCAAAUAAUGGAGGUUGCUCACUCAUUGAUGUUGGAUAAAUGUGUUCCUAAUCAUUUAUGGGGUCAUGUUGUUUUGGCUGUUGUAUAUUUGAUAAAUCGUGUUCUAAGUAGGGUUCUUGAUUUUCAGACACCACUUGAUGUGUUACAAAAGCAUGUUUAUCUUGUUUCUGUAUCAAAACUUCCUCCGAAGGUGUUUGGGUGUAUUGCGUAUGUGUAUGUCUACUCUUAUCAGCGGAGUAAACUUGAUGCAUGUGUUCUUCGAUGUGUAUUUAGUAGGUAUGCUAACAAUCAGAAAGGCUAUAAGUGUUAUCAUCCUCCGACUCAUAAAACUUAUAUUACCAUGGAUGUCACUUUCCACGAGGAAGUUUCGUAUUUUGUGAAGCCAUCUUCCGACUCUCCACUUCAGGGGAAAAAAGGGAGUGAAGUGCAUAUUUGAAGAGAUGGUAUGGAUGAUGUGUUACAGGCAGAGUUGGGGAUAGAACCUAUUAUGUUGCGUGAUACUGAUCAGUCGGUUAUAGAUAGUGAUCUGUCACCUAUUAUUCCUAAAACUAUUUUUACUGACGACAGAUUAGAUGUGCCCAACGAGUUGCUUGUCAGUAUGUCUGACGAAUUACUUUCUGAUGACCGAUUGCUUGCUUCUGGUAUGUCUAACGAGCUGCCUGAUGAUGGUUAGUUCAGUGAUGGUUCAUCCAGUGAUGAUUCUUUUAACAAUUUGGUACAAGAUAAUGACAUACAUGAGUUAAAUUCUGACGAUUCUUCUAUUUAUUAGUUGCCUCCACGAGCUAAUCGUGGAAAACCUAAGGUACAAUAUGAGCCUGAUAUGCAUGCCAAAUCCAAAUAUCCUAUCAACAAUUAUGUGUUUACUCAUCGUUUGUCCAAACCAUUUUCAUCUUACAUAUGUCAGCUAUCUAGUGUAUCAAUUCCAACAAAAUUGCACGAUGCCUUGUCUGACCCUAAGUGGGUUAAUGCCAUGAGAGUUGAGAUGGAAGCCUUGGAAAAGAAUUCUACUUGGGAUUUGGUUCAUUUACCAAAUGGGAAGAAAGCUGUUGGAUGUAGAUAGGUGUUCACUAUUAAGCACAAAGCAGAUGGUUCUAUUGACCGGUAUAAAGCCAUAUUAGUUGCUAAGGAUUAUACUCAAACCUAUAGGGUGGACUAUCAGGAGAUUUUUGUUCUUGUUGCCAAACUUAAUACUGUGUGUGUUCUUCUGUCCUUAGUAGCAAACCAGGAUUGGCCUCUGUUGCAGUUUGAUGUUAAGAAUGAUUUCCUUCAUGGUGAUCUCAAGGAGGAAAUUUAUAUGGAUCUCCCACUUAGUAUUAGAACAUCUCCUGAAAAAUGUGUUGUAUGCAAGUUGCAAAAAGCUUUGUAUAGUUUGAAACAAUCUCUUAGAGUGUGGUUUUGGAGGUUUACAAGUUCAAUGAAGAAGUUUGGGUAUGUCCAGAGUCAUUCAAAUCAUACUUUGUUUCUAAAUUGUUUCUAAAGCCACAAAAUGGUAAGCUAACUGCAUUGAUUAUUUAUGUUGAUGACAUGUUAGUGACUAGUGAUGAUCAAAAGGAGAUACAACGCCUUAAAAAAGUACCUAGCUAGUGAAUUUGAGAUGAAAGAAUUGGGUGAAUUGAAGUAUUUUCUUGGAAUCGAGGUUGCACAAUCCAAGCAUGGUAUUUUUCUGUCUCAACAGAAGUAUGUUCUUGAUUUGUUAGUUGAAACAAAUCUGUUAGAUUGCAAACUUAUUGAUACUCUGAUUGAGCAAAAUCAUCAUCUGGGCUUAUUUCCGAAUCAAGUUCCUACUCAUAAGGAACGGUAUCAGAGGCUUGUGGGGAAAUUAAUUUAUUUGUCUCACACUUGCCCUGACAUUGCUUAUGCAGUUAGUGUAGUAAGUCAGUUUAUGCACUCACCUAGUGAAGCUCAUAUGGAUGAAAUAGUCCGUAUUUUGAGGUGCUUGAAGAUGGCUCCUGGCAGAGGCUUGGUUUUCUCCAAGAAUGGUCAUUUGAAUGUCGAAGGGUAUACAGAUGCAGAUUGGACAAGUUCUAUCACUGAUUGGCGGGUGGUAAUCUAGUUACUUGGAGAAGUAGAAACAAAAAAUGGUGGCUAGGUCAAGUGCUGAAGCUGAGUUUCGUGGUAUGUCUCAUGGUGUAUGUGAGUUGUUGUGGUUAAAAAAAUUGUUGAGAGAUCUUGGAUUUAAACCCAAUGGUGCUAUGAAACUCCAUUGUGAUAACAAGGCUGCUAUUGAGAUUGCUCAUAAUCCAGUGCAACAUAAUCAAACAAAACAUGUGGAGAUUGAUCAACAUUUCAUCAAGGAAAAUUUGGAUGCUGGAAUUAUUAUGUUUCCGUUUGUGAGAUCUGAAGAUCAACUCGCUGAUGUACUUACUAAGACUGUGUCUAAUAGUGUGUUUUCCAACUCGCUUGACAAGUUGGGCAUGCAUGACAUCUUUGCUCCAACUUGAGGGGGAAUUUUACGAGUUAUAUAUAGUUAAAGUGUAAAUAGUAGUCUGUUGUCCUACAUUGAUGAAGUACAUAUGUAAUACUAAUUGUAACUCCUAUAUAUACUCCACUUUGGAGAUUAAUAAAUAUAUAAGAAAUUCCCAAAUAUUGUCAUAUAAAUUUUUGGUAUUUAUCAUGUUUAGUUUAAUAGUCUAAACAUCAGGAAAUACACCAACCCUAAACCUAAUGGAUUUUAUGAAGCCGCUGGUUUGGGUACACAUUAAUCUAACCUAAUUGCUCUACCACAUUCUAAACACAAAAUUUGUUAUAAAUAGGAUGAUUAAAUUUAUUUUCUCAAGCGGUAGAGUAGUGAACCUCACAGCGACGACAAUCUUCCACCCCCAAAUUCGGGUUUUUUUGUACUAAAAUGGUCUUUUAUGUAUAAGAACUUUACGAUAAGUUUAUUAAAAUUGGCUCUGUAUCUACGAAAUCUCAACAUCCAUACGUUACAAAAUGGAUUAGAACUCCUAGGAAAUAAAAUAGAACAUAUGAUGAUCCCUUUAAAGGGCCUUAUAAUGGGGAAGACUUCUCACAGAAUAUAAGAAGACGAAGAGGAAAACUAAAAACUUAGAACUUCAAGGAGAUGGACUGGAGCAGGGAGAAUGGCAAAGAACCGGAACCCAGAAGACCCGCAACGAAAAAGAAAACACUGUACUUUUUUUAGACAUUUUUUCACAUUUCUUCUCGGCCUUACAGCCAAGUAGCAUUUUCCGACCCCAAAUAAAGAUAGAAGGAAAAAACCAAAUUAAGGUAAAUAAAUUUUCUAUAGCAACUUGGCAAACAAAAACAUACUAGAAGAAAACAAGGAAAAUACAAAGAAAUUAAGGAAGUAUGGGAAACAAAAUAAAUUUAAUACGGGACCAACGACAACGGUGCAAAUGUAUAUUGUUCAGGAAAUAAACUUUUAGCGAAAAUGUGCUGCAAAAUUGACCAAUUUUGCUUCAUAUUCACACUCAAUUUUUUUAAGAAUUAAUAUCUGUAGAGUUUAGACCAAAAAUAAAAUAAAAAACAAAACCAAAAUGCUACUCCACUUUCUUGGUACUUAACUCAGCUCUCCACCUCCUUCCAAUCUUACAAGCUUCUAGAUUUAGAUUUGUCUCAAAUCACAUGCCAACUAACCUGCCCAGCUCAAUUUUAUUUUUUCUUUGGAAAUUCCAGUGCGUCUCUACUUUUGUUUUUCUAAAUCUUACUUACUCCCAUUAUAAUUGGAAUUUUAUAUAUUUAUAUGGAUGCUUUGUCAAGAUAUGAGAGAAAUAGUAGUGAUUCAAAAAGAUGAUUAGGAGCCAAAAAUAUUUAUUAUUUUAGAUUGGUGUUUAUGUUUUUGAACAGUUAAAAACUUUUUUGGUCAUUGUGUUUAUGUUUAAAAUUUAUUUUGGUCACUGUAUUUUAUUUUCUGCUAAUUUAGUUACUGUGUUAUCACAAGUUAGCAAUCUUAGUCCUUCUCAAUCAAACGUUAAAAAAAACGCACAUGACAUGCAAGUGCAGGGGUAACUAUGUAAGUGAAAAUAUAUCUUUGCCCCUGCACGAAACUGUCACGUGCAUUUUUUUGGCGGUUGACUUAUGGUAACGCAGUGACCAAUUUGGCAGAAAAUAAAACACAAUGACCAAAAUAAAUUUUAGAAAUACACACAGCGACCAAAAACGUUUUAAUUUAACCCAUUUUUAACAGUCCAGCCAGCUACCAUGAAAGCUACAACAUGAAAGCUGACUGUCAAAAUUUUGUUUAAAAAUUCAUACACAAUAAUCGUCAUAAGAACGUGCAAUAGGUACUUUGAAUUCUUAAAUAUACUGCAUGGUUACCCUUUCCUUUUGUUUUAUACAGAGAAAUCUUGACAGGCAGUCAAAAGCAAAAUUAUGUUCUUCUAGUGAUAUCUGUGUGCUAAAAAGGAAGUACGUAGCUACGUUCAGUCUUCACCUAACACUCCUAUUUGCACCUAAAAGAUGUGGAUAACAAAGAUUUUGACCAAAAUCACAUUGACAAGUACUUGCCAAAGGAUCACGGAACCUAUGAUUGUAAAAGAUAUACGUGUUGGGCCUGACCGACGUUAAUUAGUUGUUCAUAUUGAUUUGAGAAAUUUGAUUGAAUGAGGAUUAACAAAUCACAAUUGCUAAAAUAUUAAAAUGUAUUAACUGCGACAUAUUGGUUAAAUAAUUAUUGCACAUCGAAAAAAUAUUGACGAGUAAUUAUGAAUUUUUAUUUUCAUUAUUUCAAACAUUUUUAUAUUAGAAAAGCUAAAGAAAAUGAUUUAAAAACUUUGAAUUUUAAUGAUACGUACAAAAUGAAAGGUAAAAUAAAUAGUACCAGAAUUAACUUUUUGUUUAAAUUUUAUUUUCUAUUUGGCAUCAACUUUUGGUUUAAAUAUACUAUAUAACCCUCACAAAAGAAAAAGCAUGGUGUACUAGUAGCUAAAAGACAUAAAAAAGGUUAAUCUUAAUUUAUUAUUCUAAAGUUUCUUAGUUUUCAAUAUUUGGUAUAUAAAGUUUUUUUUAUUCUAGAGUUGUACAUAAAGUUAUAAUUUUGGGAUACUUUCAUACAUCCAUUAAGGUUGCUGUUAAAUUUAUCAUUAACUGAUGAUAUGACAUUUAUGUUGACAAUGACACGUAGAUAUUAAAAAUUAAAAAUUAAAUUAAUAAAAUAAUAAAAAUUAAAAAAAAAAAAAAAUUGGGCGUCUUCACCCUCACCCCUUCUGACCCCCCUCCCUUCUCUCCUCUGCACCCACGCUUCCCCCUCCCUCUUCGACUCCACCCAACGCUGCACUCCGAGGAUUGUUGCCAUCCUUUCAAGCCCAAUUUCGCCCCCAAAUAGGCCCGGGCAGUACUUGGCCAUAAACUUCAAGUCGUAGACCCUCUCGAACAAACGACCUGCCAUCUUUGCGAACUCAGUGGGGGAGCUGAGGAUGGUCUUCCUCGUCACCAGCUUCAUUACAUAGGCCGAGUCGUAGAGGCCGUGGAAGCUCACCCAUACGAGCUGCCCCCUGUGCACCCUUAAAAUCUCAACGAAACCCUCCACAAAAAUAUCCGAAUCAAUGCCGAACUUCCCAAAUUUCUCGAGAUCCAAGCCAUUCGCUUUGAGGAGGGCAAUGGAUUCUGGAACAUGGGGGUCGGUUUCCUCGUCAAAACCCCGAAAGUUGAACUCCCAGGUGCCGCCGACGUUGCCGCGGUCGUCGAACAGGGUGAUACCCACUUGGAUGAGAUUGAGAGAAUCGACAUUAAGGGCGAUAUCUUGGUAACGGAGGCCCUUGGAAGUGCCUCUGGGGGUGUUGCGGAGGAACCCCGGAAAUUCGGUGUCGAACGAGACGAUCGGAAAACGGCAGAGACACCGAUCGACGGAGGGAAGGGGAAAGGUGGGUGCAAAGGAGAGAACGGGAGUGGGGUCGGAAGGGGUGAGGAAGAAGAUGCCCAAAUUUUUUUAUUUAUUUAAUUUUUUUAGUUUUUAUUAUUUUAUUUUUUAAUAUGCACGUGUCAUCAUGUCAUUGUCCACGUGGAUAACACAUCAUUAGUUAACAGUAAAUUUAAAGGCAACCUUAAUGAAUGUAUAAAAUUGUUCCAAAAUUAUAACUUUAUGUACCACUCUGAGAUGAAAAAAACUUUAUUUACCAAAUAUUGAAAACAAAAAAACUUUAAGAUAAUAAACUAAUAUUAAUCCUAAAAAACUACUAAAGGAAAGGGUGAAAGAAAAAAUUAUUAGUUUGUGCUGUUCUCAUGGUAAUAGUGGUUUUUGUAUUGUACGAUCAUGUGUUACAUUUUAUGCAUUAUUAUGUGGAUGAAUGAAUAAGUUAAUUACAUCGCAUGUCAUAGGGUGAAUAUUACAUUAAAAAAUUCUUCAUUCUUGUUAUUCGUCAAAUUAAUGGUUGUGCAUUUGUAUGAGGACCUAGAUCUGUUGAGGAUGCAGAUCUUCACUCGUUGAAGGCCAUCCCUAUCUAUCUACUACUACUCUUUGGAAAAUAAUUGACUACAGAUGAUUGUACAAAAAAAUAAUUAAUAUUAUCUGAACAGCUCACCAUGCAUGUUCAGUAAAGUAAAGCGGAUUUGUUUAUUCAUUGUCUAGUUCAAACUUGGGGAGCAUUUUCUCAUUCUUGCGGUGAUCAGAAUAAUGUGAUUUAAGUCCAGUUAAACAUGCUUAAUUAUGCAUUUAAGCAUCUUUUAUUUAUUUGCUUUCAUUAUUUUUUCCUUCUUAAUGUGUUGUUAUUGUUUGGAACAACAAGUAAGACAAAUCUAGCCAGUUAGCAUUCACCGCAUCACCGCAUAAUGAAAGAUUAUUCAUAUUUGGAAAUGAAUAAUUAAUUAAAAAACUGUAUUAUUAAGGCAAAUGGGCACUUAAUAUUUGUAUCUUAAACCUUCCGAGUCGGAUAUUCGAGUAAAUUAGUUAAAAAGCUAUGCAAAAUGUGAAUGUGACAGACUACGUAGUAAAGUUUGGGUUAAGAGAGAGAGAGAGAGAGAGAGAGAGUAUUUCGCAGCCGGCUGGUCCCUAUGUACGGGAAGAAUCAUAGAAAGUUAGGUAACUACACACAUUUUUCAAAGAUGUCGAUCAUGAAAAAUAUUUGAUAACAAAUUCAGGGAGGACAUACUGCUUAAAUUAUUAACCUAGAAAUAAAGUUCGAUCUCUUGCUUUAACUUUUCUGCUACGUAGCUCUUAUUGCAUUAAACAAAGCCUUAUUAAAGUAAAGAUGGUCACACCCUUAGCCCUUUAGGUGAUACGUUCAGGGAAAUGGUUAAUGUUUUUACAAGCUCUUGUUUAUUUUUAUUUUUUAAUAUUUUCAGAUAUUUUUACAAUCUUUUACUGCGCAGUAAUAGAGUGUAAAAAUCAUAUCUAUGUAUUUAUUUAUUAUUAACUAUGUUUACAAUGAACCUUCUAUUCCAUGAAACAAGAUAUAAAAAUAAAAAUAAAAAGGAGAAGGGCAUAAAUUAACAAAAUUCGGUCAAAGGCCGCAUUGGUCCAAACAUUAAUUGAUAAUCUAUGACAAAUAGUCUGGCCCCAUUAGCAUUAUUUUAACAGUAAUAUUGUUUUUUUACUAAGAUAAUUAAUAAUUGCCAAGUGAAAAUUUGGCAUGAGUACCAUUGUGAAGGGUAAAAACCAAAGCUAUAUAAAGGGUGAGGAGGCUUAGCUUCAGAGGCAGACAACCAAAAACCCAUUCUUAACGAAGGAUGGGAAAAAUGGUGCCUUCACAAGUGACCUCUCUUGUGGUCACUCUCCUAGUGGCAAUAGUCUCUCUCACAUUGCCUUCAGAAACUUCAGCUAACUACCCUUACACCUCUCCACCACCACCGGCCUCUCCUCCCUACCAUUACAAGUCACCACCGCCUCCUUCUCCUUCUCCUCCAGUGCACUACUCACCACCUAAGCAUCCCUACCACCCUAAGUCACCACCACCUCCUGUGUACGCACCACCUAAGCAUCCCUACCACCCUAAGUCACCACCACCUCCUGUGUACCCACCACCUAAGCAUCCCUACCACCCCAAGUCACCACCACCAUCACCAAAGCCUUACCACUACAAAUCCCCACCACCACCUCCUGCUCCAGUGCACUCACCACCCCCACCUAAGGAGCCAUACCACUACAAGUCCCCACCACCACCACCCAAGAAGCCCUACCACUACAAAUCUCCCCCACCACCUCCUCCUCCAGUUCACUCACCACCACCACCCAAGGAGCCUUACCACUACAAAUCUCCACCACCACCACCCAAGAAACCUUACUAUUACAAGUCUCCUCCACCACCACCAAAGAAGCCUUACCACUACAUGUCUCCUCCCCCACCGGUGUACUCACCACCUCCACCAGUGCACUCACACCCACCACCAAAAAAGCCUUACCAUUACAAAUCUCCUCCCCCGCCAGAAUAUUCACCAGCUCCACCAGUGCACUCAACCCCACCACCAAAGAAGCCCUACCAUUACAAAUCCCCACCACCACCACCACCACACAAGAAGCCUUAUUACCCUGUUCACUCACCACCUCCACCUAAGAAGCCUUACCACUACAAAUCCCCACCACCACCUUCUCCUACUCCUCCUAAAUACUCACCACCUAAGCACCCCUACCACUACAAGUCUCCACCACCACCACCAAAGAAGCCUUACCAUUACAAGUCCCCACCACCUCCUUCUCCUACUCCCCCUAAAUACUCACCACCUAAGCACCCCUACCACUACAAGUCACCACCACCACCACCCCAAGAAGCCUUACCACUACAAGUCUCCACCACCACCACCUCCUCCAGUUCCCACACCAUCUCCACCCAAGAAACCUUACCACUACAAGUCUCCCCCACCACCCCCUCCAGUCUACAAGUCUCCUCCACCACCAGUUUACUCACCACCACCACCACCUAAGAAACCUUACAAGCCACCAACUCCUCCAGCAGUUCACCCACCACACGGUUACAUCUAUUCCUCACCCCCACCUCCUCACCACUACUAGAUAUUGAAAGUUUAAUUGCAUCAAGCUGGUAAGCUUCUCCAUUCUAUGCUAUUAUUCAUUAAUUAGUUAGUACUACUGUUGUCAAUUUGGAAAUCACCAUACAACCAAAUGCACACUCUGACGAAAUAACAUAUAAAUUCUAAUUGAAUAGUCUUUAUUUCCAUUUUUGGCUAAUAAUCCUUAUUAGCAUAUGGAUAAUGUAUUUCCAACAUAUCGUUAUUAACUUAUUACUCAAUUAAUAUUUCUUUUUCUUUAAAUUCAGUAGCCGUGUGUAACAAAUAGACCAAUGGCAGAGACCCAACAAAUAACAAUAAUAUGUCUUUGC